GCAUCAACGGCAAGCUCCAUGAGAUAUGGAGGUCACAGUGGCGGUAGAAUCCAUGAGAUGUGGAGGCCGCAGGUGGUGGCAGACUUCGUGAGAUGCGGAGGCCGGUGUAGGUGGCCAUGGCUACCAUCGCAGGAGGGUUCGUGUGCUUAUGGCGAACACAAGUGCAGCGGCAAGGUUUUCGUGGUGACGCAGGAGGGUUCGUGUGCUUAUGGCGAACACAAGUGCAGCGGCAAGGUUUUCGUGGUGACAUGCGGCGGCACUGGAAGGAAUGCGUCGUCCACGGCAAGGUGAUGUUGUG
Molecule: long non-coding RNA, 298 nt
Filed under: Triticum aestivum (bread wheat)
Lineage: Eukaryota; Viridiplantae; Streptophyta; Magnoliopsida; Poales; Poaceae
Description: long non-coding RNA (TAES_LNC006087)
Source: RNAcentral